CAGCAGCCGCGGGAAUACGAAGGGUGCAAGCGUUAAUCGGAAUUACUGGGCGUAAAGCGUGCGUAGGCGGUGAGUUAAGUCUGCUGUGAAAUCCCCGGGCUCAACCUGGGAACGGCAGUGGAUACUGGCUCGCUAGAGUGUGUCAGAGGAUGGUGGAAUUCCCGGUGUAGCGGUGAAAUGCGUAGAGAUCGGGAGGAACAUCAGUGGCGAAGGCGGCCAUCUGGGACAACACUGACGCUGAGGCACGAAAGCGUGGGGAGCAAACAGGAUUAGAUACCCCUGUAGUCCCUGUCUCUUAUAC
This 301-nucleotide ribosomal RNA is filed under the name uncultured bacterium. RNAcentral describes it as "partial 16S ribosomal RNA". It matches the Rfam family "Bacterial small subunit ribosomal RNA", at positions 509 to 807 of the family's 1533-position model. The record is from RNAcentral.